This 406-nucleotide ribosomal RNA is filed under the name uncultured bacterium. Its description in RNAcentral is "partial 16S ribosomal RNA". It matches the Rfam family "Bacterial small subunit ribosomal RNA", at positions 30 to 526 of the family's 1533-position model. The record is from RNAcentral.
AUUGAACGCUGGCGGCAGGCCUAACACAUGCAAGUCGAACGAGUGGCGGACGGGUGUGUAAUGUCUUGGCAACUGCCUGAUGGAGGGGUAUGACUUCUGGAAACUGUCGCUACUACCGCAUACCGUCAUUUUUGCCGUGAUUGGAUUAGCUUGUUGGUGGGGUAACGGCUCACCAAGGCGACGAUCCCUAGCUGGUCUGAGAGGCUGACCCGCCACACUGGAACUGAGACACGGUGCAGACUCGUACGGGAGGCAGCAGUGGGGAAUAUUGAACAAUGGGCGCAAGUCUGAUUGAGCCAUGCCGCGUUGAUGAAGAAGGCCUUCGGGUUGUAAAGCACUUUCAGCGGGGAGGCGUUACCGGAAGAAGAAGCACAGGCUAACUCCGUGCCAGCAGCCGCGGUAAUUC